GUAGCUUCGGCUGCACAUACUUUAAAAUUGGAAUGAUACAGAGAAGACCAGCAUGGCCCCUGUGCAAGGAUGAUGUGCAAAUUUGUGAAGCGUCCCAUAUUUGA
Hyaena hyaena (striped hyena) is the source of this 104-nucleotide small nuclear RNA. The record is from RefSeq and is a predicted model, not a curated record. NCBI's taxonomy places the organism in Eukaryota, Metazoa, Chordata, Mammalia, Carnivora, Hyaenidae.